CGGGGGAUUACCUGAGAACGGGAGAAACAAACAUGUGUAGGUUCAACAAAAUGAGGAGAAGUUCUCACUGAUCUCUGCACAUACCAUCAACAACAAACUUAAAUUAAUUCAUUGAUAUAAAAAAACAAAGUAACAAAAGAAAAUAGCCUGCAUAAUGGAGGUAGUACCCUUCACCCAGCAACACUCACAACACUCACAGUACCCUCUCACUCAAACGUCCCUUAUUAUAACAACUUGUAACAUUGCACUCUCCAAUAAUAAAUUGACACGUCAUAUAUAUACUACACUCUCCACUACUCUAUGUCUACUAUAAAAUUUACAAAUAAAAUUACUUAACUAACUUCGUCUUAUUUUAAAAAGCAUAAUGUUUUUAUUUUCUUUUUUUUAAUAUAUAAAAAUCUCAUAUAUAUUUAAAUGAUUAUUGUCAAUAUAUCAUCUCUUAUAUAAAUCAUAUUAUUAUUUUCAUGUUAAUUCUAUAAAUAAAUCAUUUUUAAGAAAUCAUUUGUUACUAAUUAUUAAUCUAAUUUAAUUUUAUACAAAUUAUAAAUUAUCAGAGAAUGUUCGCAGUAUAAUUUAGAUUCAUCCAAUCACAAAAUAAUAAGAUGUAGAAAAAUUGUUUUUUCGUGUAUAUAUAUAUACGAAGUUAUUUGCUACUUACGUUAUGUUUAGUAGCAAUGAACUUGAUGAUUAGUAAUGAAUUUGUUUCAUUUUGUGCAUUCUUCUGUGUUUGAGUUUGAUAUAUAUAAAAAUCAAAUAAAAAAAUUUAAAAAAAGAAAAAGAACGGGGGAUUACCUGAGAACGGGAGAAACAAACAGUGUGUAGGUUCAACAAAAUGAGGAGAAGUUCUCACUGAUCUCUGCACAUACCAUCAACAACAAACUUAAAUUAAUUCAUUGAUAUAAAAAACAAAGUAACAAAAGAAAUAGCCUGCAUAAUGGAGUAGUACCCUUUCACCCAGCAACACUCACAACACUCACAGUACCCUCUCACUCAAACGUCCCUUAUUAUAACAACUUGUAACAUUGCACUCUUCCAAUAAUAAAUUGACACGUCAUUAUAUACUACACUCUCCACUACUCUAUUGUCUACUAUAAAUUUUACAAAUAAAAUUACUUAACUAACUUCGUCUUAUUUUAAAAAGCAUAAUGUUUUUUAUUUCUUUUUUUAAUAUAUAAAAAACUCAUAUAUAAUUUUAAAUGAUUAUUUGUCAAUAUAUCAUCUCUUAUAUAAAUCAUAUUAUUAUUUUCAUGUUAAUUCUAUAAAUAAAUCAUUUUAAGAAAUCAUUUGUUACUAAUUAUUAAUCUAAUUUAAUUUUAUACAAAUUAUAAAUUAUCAGAGAAUGUUCGCAGUAUAAUUUAGAUUCAUCCAACCAAAAAUAAUAAGAUGUAGAAAAUUGUUUUUUCGUGUAAUAUAUAUACGAAGUUAUUUGCUACUUACGUUAUGUUUAGUAGCAAUGAACUUGAUGAUUAGUAAUGAAUUUGUUUCAUUUUGUGCAUUCUUCUGUGUUUGAGUUUGAUAUAUAUAAAAAAUCAAAUAAAAAAAUUUAAAAAAAAGAAAAAGAACGGGGAUUACCUGAGAACGGGAGAAACAAACAGUGUGUAGGUUCAACAAAAUGAGGAGAAGUUCUCACUGAUCUCUGCACAUACAUCAACAACAAACUUAAAUUAAUUCAUUGAUAUAAAAAAAACAAAGUAACAAAAGAAAAUAGCCUGCAUAAUGGAGGUAGUACCCUUUCACCCAGCAACACUCACACCUCACAGUACCCUCUCACUCAAACGUCCCUUAUUAUAACAACUUGUAACAUUGCACUCUUCCAAUAAUAAAUUGACACGUCAUUAUAUACUACACUCUCCACUACUCUAUUGUCUACUAUAAAAUUUUACAAAUAAAAUUACUUAACUAACUUCGUCUUAUUUUAAAA
RNAcentral lists this long non-coding RNA (1921 nucleotides) under Lathyrus oleraceus (garden pea). Its description in RNAcentral is "Pisum sativum (pea) long non-coding RNA (PSAT_LNC040745)". Lineage: Eukaryota; Viridiplantae; Streptophyta; Magnoliopsida; Fabales; Fabaceae. The record is from RNAcentral.